AAUAGAUACCCGGGUAGUCCACGCCCUAAACGAUGCGAACUGGAUGUUGGGUUCAACUUGGAACCCAGUAUCGAAGCUAACGCGUUAAGUUCGCCGCCUGGGGAGUACGGUCGCAAGACUGAAACUCAAAGGAAUUGACGGGGGCCCGCACAAGUGGUGGAGUAUGUGGUUUAAUUCGAUGCAACGCGAAGAACCUUACCUGGUCUUGACAUCCACGGAACUUUCCAGAGAUGGAUUGGUGCCUUCGGGAACCGUGAGACAGGUGCUGCAUGGCUGUCAUCAGCUCGUGUCGUGAGAUGUUGGGUUAAGUCCCGCAACGAGCGCAACCCUUGUCCUUAGUUGCCAGCACGUAAUGGUGGGAACUCUAAGGAGACCGCCGGUGACAAACCGGAGGAAGGUGGGGAUGACGUCAAGUCAUCAUGGCCCUUACGACCAGGGCUACACACGUACUACAAUGGUGGGGACAGAGGGCCGCAAUCCCGCGAGGGUGAGCCAAUCCCAGAAACCCCAUCUCAGUCCGGAUCGGAGUCUGCAACUCGACUCCGUGAAC
Molecule: ribosomal RNA, 550 nt
Filed under: uncultured bacterium
Lineage: Bacteria
Description: bacterial SSU rRNA
Rfam family: Bacterial small subunit ribosomal RNA
Source: RNAcentral